This 1753-nucleotide long non-coding RNA is filed under the name Diabrotica virgifera virgifera (western corn rootworm). RNAcentral's name for it is "uncharacterized LOC126887064". The record is from RNAcentral. Lineage: Eukaryota; Metazoa; Arthropoda; Insecta; Coleoptera; Chrysomelidae.
UUAGCAAAUCGAUUUUGUUCACUAAUAUCUUUAGAAAACGGCAUUAUAAGCAGAAAAAAACAAACUUUUCUAUAUGUAAACAUUGUAAAUGUCAGCACAAUAGGUCCCGACGGCGGCCAUGACACUUUGGCAGUUAGGAGGGGGUACGAUUACGGUUUAUCCCAAUACUCGGGGCAUGCAGCGCGAAUGUACCGAAUGAACAUAGUACAAUGUCUUCCUGGAGGGGUAAAAUUUUCCAUUACAAGAUUUUAAGAGAGGCCAUUUACUAUUCAAUUUGCGUUCAUGCAGGGCAUGCAGCGCGAAUGUACGCGAAUGAACAUAGUACAAUGUCUUCCUGGAGGGGUAAAAUUUUCCAUUACAAGAUUUUAAGAGAGGCCAUUUACUAUUCAAUUUGCGUUCAUUUUCAAAUUUGCCGCGCGAGUAUCUAUGUAGCGUCACGUGGUCAUCACAUUUCAUAUUAUUUAUUUCAUUUUCAUGGAUAACCGAUAACCUAAAAAUUUAGUAAAAAUUUUGAUUGGAAAAAAAUGCAUCGAUAACUGUCGAUAAGGGGGUGUGGGAAAUGGAAAUUAGUGGCUUUUUUGCUGUACUGUCUGCCAGUUUUUGCUCUGGGCUCUGGCUGGAUAUCUUGUUUAAACAAUUUUAAUCAGCUGAAAGUGGCCUACAAAAAAAAAACCAAGAAGGAAAUGUAUAGCCUUGUGGCUAUGAAAGGCAAAAGAGAGAUAUAAAAAGUGUAUUGGCUAGUUGGAAGAAAGUCCACAUUGUCCAUGCAUAAUAAGUUAUUACUUUAUCAACAAAUAUCAAGAAGAUAGCAGGGUCACGAGCAUCAACUUCAUAAGUUCAAGAAUAUCGAGGAAAUCCAGCUCCUCGAUACUACUGGGCAAACUAGAAGAUUGAAGAGGACAAAUCCUUUUGAACUAGUUUGAGUGAUAGGUGAUAGUGAAAAACGGAGCAUAGUGCUUGUGUGCUGUGCCUGUGUAUGUUAGAAUAAUAGUGCACGAUCUUGUUAGAUUAGAUAAGAGACGCUAUGGGGUAAGCUCUUCAUUUUAAGAAACAGUAGUAAUUUAGGUUAAAUUAAAAUUGCUCAUUGGUCAAUUAUGACCAGAUUGUUUUUUUAUGUUUGGCAAAAAGGACUUAAGUCAGAAUUGCACAUUGAUAAUGUUUUGAUGAUUUCUGGACCAGAAAAAAACUGUUGUAGAUGUAAACUGUAUGUACAGUAGAAUCUACUACAGUACUGUAGAAAUCAUCAAAACAUUAUCGAUGUGCAAUUCUGACUUAAGCCCUUUUUCCCAAACAUCAGAGAAUUGUAAUGUACAAUAAUUCUCCUAUCUGCUUUUUCAUGAAUUUUGUAGGAGACGAAAAACCAUUUUUAGGAUCAUCUGCUUUCACAUGUAAAUUUUGACAUGUUUUGUAGUAAAUAGAUAGUUGAAUUUACUACAAAACAUGUCAAAAAAUAUAUGAAAACAGGAGGUGACUAUAAAAAAAGUUUUUAGUCUCUCUUACAAAACUCAUGAAAAACAAAUCGGAGAUAUGUCACAUCGGUGACUAUAUCCAGGGAAUGUCUAAAAAAUAUACUUUGAUGUCCCAAGAACCAAAUAUAACCUACAGUCCAUCUAAUUUACUUACCGUUGCACGUCAUUAUCUACGCCAGAGAUCUAAGUUGACAUAGUUGCCAAAGUAUAAAAAGAUCCUGAAUCCAUUUUAAAUCAAAUUUAUCACAUAAUUAUUGUAAACGUGGAUUAUACAACAAAACAAA